UGGGUAGGGGAGCGUUCUGUAAGCCUGUGAAGGUGUACUGUGAGGUAUGCUGGAGGUAUCAGAAGUGCGAAUGCUGACAUAAGUAACGAUAAAGCGGGUGAAAAGCCCGCUCGCCGGAAGACCAAGGGUUCCUGUCCAACGUUAAUCGGGGCAGGGUGAGUCGACCCCUAAGGCGAGGCCGAAAGGCGUAGUCGAUGGGAAACAGGUUAAUAUUCCUGUACUUGGUGUUACUGCGAAGGGGGGACGGAGAAGGCUAUGUUGGCCGGGCGACGGUUGUCCCGGUUUAAGCGUGUAGGCUGGUUUUCCAGGCAAAUCCGGAAAAUCAAGGCUGAGGCGUGAUGACGAGGCACUACGGUGCUGAAGCAACAAAUGCCCUGCUUCCAGGAAAAGCCUCUAAGCAUCAGGUAACAUCAAAUCGUACCCCAAACCGACACAGGUGGUCAGGUAGAGAAUACCAAGGCGCUUGAGAGAACUCGGGUGAAGGAACUAGGCAAAAUGGUGCCGUAACUUCGGGAGAAGGCACGCUGAUAUGUAGGUGAAGUCCCUCGCGGAUGGAGCUGAAAUCAGUCGAAGAUACCAGCUGGCUGCAACUGUUUAUUAAAAACACAGCACUGUGCAAACACGAAAGUGGACGUAUACGGUGUGACGCCUGCCCGGUGCCGGAAGGUUAAUUGAUGGGGUCAGCGCAAGCGAAGCUCUUGAUCGAAGCCCCGGUAAACGGCGGCCGUAACUAUAACGGUCCUAAGGUAGCGAAAUUCCUUGUCGGGUAAGUUCCGACCUGCACGAAUGGCGUAAUGAUGGCCAGGCUGUCUCCACCCGAGACUCAGUGAAAUUGAACUCGCUGUGAAGAUGCAGUGUACCCGCGGCAAGACGGAAAGACCCCGUGAACCUUUACUAUAGCUUGACACUGAACAUUGAGCCUUGAUGUGUAGGAUAGGUGGGAGGCUUUGAAGUGUGGACGCCAGUCUGCAUGGAGCCGACCUUGAAAUACCACCCUUUAAUGUUUGAUGUUCUAACGUGGACCCGUGAUCCGGGUUGCGGACAGUGUCUGGUGGGUAGUUUGACUGGGGCGGUCUCCUCCUAAAGAGUAACGGAGGAGCACGAAGGUUGGCUAAUCCUGGUCGGACAUCAGGAGGUUAGUGCAAUGGCAUAAGCCAGCUUGACUGCGAGCGUGACGGCGCGAGCAGGUGCGAAAGCAGGUCAUAGUGAUCCGGUGGUUCUGAAUGGAAGGGCCAUCGCUCAACGGAUAAAAGGUACUCCGGGGAUAACAGGCUGAUACCGCCCAAGAGUUCAUAUCGACGGCGGUGUUUGGCACCUCGAUGUCGGCUCAUCACAUCCUGGGGCUGAAGUAGGUCCCAAGGGUAUGGCUGUUCGCCAUUUAAAGUGGUACGCGAGCUGGGUUUAGAACGUCGUGAGACAGUUCGGUCCCUAUCUGCCGUGGGCGCUGGAGAACUGAGGGGGGCUGCUCCUAGUACGAGAGGACCGGAGUGGACGCAUCACUGGUGUUCGGGUUGUCAUGCCAAUGGCACUGCCCGGUAGCUAAAUGCGGAAGAGAUAAGUGCUGAAAGCAUCUAAGCACGAAACUUGCCCCGAGAUGAGUUCUCCCUGACCCUUUAAGGGUCCUGAAGGAACGUUGAAGACGACGACGUUGAUAGGCCGGGUGUGUAAGCGCAGCGAUGCGUUGAGCUAACCGGUACUAAUGAACCGUGAGGCUUAACCU
Molecule: ribosomal RNA, 1720 nt
Filed under: Escherichia coli 2886-75
Lineage: Bacteria; Pseudomonadati; Pseudomonadota; Gammaproteobacteria; Enterobacterales; Enterobacteriaceae
Description: bacterial LSU rRNA
Rfam family: Bacterial large subunit ribosomal RNA
Source: RNAcentral